Molecule: ribosomal RNA, 1989 nt
Filed under: Triticum aestivum (bread wheat)
Lineage: Eukaryota; Viridiplantae; Streptophyta; Magnoliopsida; Poales; Poaceae
Description: partial small subunit ribosomal RNA
Source: RNAcentral
AUGGCAGCAAAUUCGGCUGCCUCGGCCGCGACUACUACUGCCACGACAGCAGUUUCAUCGCUGGGAUCGGCUGCAGCUCGUGCGUCGCCCAGGACGGCUGCCAUGGCAGCAGAUUCGGCCGCCUCGGCAGCGACUUCUGUUGCCAUGGCAGCAGUCUCGCCCGGCACAGCUGCAGAAUCGCCUGCACCUUCCUCGUCGAGCGCGACCAGUGGCUGCAGCUCCCCUGUGGUCUUCGCCGGUGGCUCUACCCCACCUUCGCCGCCCGGCCGAGCUCAUCCCAUGGUGACACGGGCUCGCGCGGGCAUCACUCGCCGCAAUACGCAGUACGACGAUGAUUACAUCCUCACUGCCACCGUGCCUUCUCCAUCACCUGUUCCCACGUCGGUUCGAGCAGCCCUCGCGAAUGCUCACUGGCGACAGGCCAUGCAGGAGGAAUUUGACGCCCUCCGCGCCAACGCUACCUGGACCUUGGUUCCUCGGCCACCCGGUGCCCACGUCAUCUCCGGCAAGUGGAUUUUUCGCCACAAGCUACAUCCCGAUGGCACUUUGGAUCGGUACAAGGCGAGGUGGGUCGUCCGUGGCUUCACCCAACGUCACGGCAUCGAUUACCAUGACACCUUCUCGCCUGUCGUCAAGCCGGCGUCCAUCCGCAUCGUCCUCCAGCUCGCCGCCUCUCGGAAUUGGCCGGUCCACCAGCUUGACGUUAAAAACGCCUUUCUCCACGGUGAACUAACCGAGCAUGUCUACUGUCAGCAGCCAGCGGGUUUUCUUGACGAGGCACGCCCACAUGAUGUGUGUCUUCUCUCCAAGUCGCUCUACGGCCUCAAGCAGGCUCCCCGUGCUUGGUUCACGAAGAUCACCACCUGUCUACAUUCCAUUGGGUUCACGGCAACUCGCUCCGAUGCCUCGCUCUUUGUCUAUCGUCACGGCCACGACAUCGCCUACCUGCUACUCUACGUCGACGACAUCGUCCUCACCGCCUCGUCAGACGUACUGCUCCGCCGUGUCAUCGCACAACUCACCGCCACCGUCGCGCUGAAGGACUUGGGCGCGCUGCACUUCUUCCUCGGCAUCCAAGUGCGGCGCACCUCGGCGGGGUUCUUUCUUCAUCAACAUCAGUAUGCCGAGGACCUGCUACAUCGCGCUGGCAUGACCAACUGCAGGCCGGCCCCAACUCCGGUCGACACGCGGUCCAAGCUCUCUGCCUCCCACGGAGAACUUGCGGAUGAUGCCACCUCCUACCGCAGUAUCACCGGUGCACUGCAGUAUCUCACAUUGACGCGCCCGGAUCUUACUUAUGCUGUUCAACAGGUCUGCUUAUACAUGCACGCUCCCCGGCAGCCCCACUGGUCCAUGGUGAAGCGCAUCCUUCGCUAUGUCCGCGGGACUGUCAGCCACGGCAUAACCAUCAGCUCCUCACCGCCGCAUGAGCUCGUCGCAUACAGUGACGCUGACUGGGCUGGCUGCCCCGACACACGACGUUCCACCUCCGGUUAUUGCCUGUUUCUUGGUGGGUCGCUCAUCUCUUGGUCGUCCAAGAGGCAACCCACCGUGUCCAGGUCCAGUGCAGAGGCGGAGUACCGCGCUGUGGCCAAUGCCGUCGCCGAGUGCUGUUGGACGCGACAGCUUCUCCAGGAGCUUCACUCCGGCAUCGACAAAGCCACGGUUGUUUACUGUGACAAUGUGUCAGCCGUCUACCUUGCUCAGAGUCCUGUACAUCACCGCCGGACCAAGCACAUCGAACUCGACAUCCACUUUGUUCGUGAGAAGGUUGCUCUUGGUCAGUUUCGCGUCCUGCAUGUGCCGACCACCUCGCAGUUCGCUGACAUCAUGACCAAAGGGCUGCCGACCGCCACGUUUGAGGAUUUCAGGUCCAGCCUGUGCGUCACCAACAGCGACGCUCUGUCUGCGGGGGGGUGUUGGAAUGAGUCUGCAGGCCCACGUACUUCUCCAACUAAUCACGACCGGCAUGCCUCGCCUGCCUCCUAG